CUUUAACAAUCUGGAACAAGCUGAAAAUUGAAACCUGACAGCAGAAACUUAUCCCUCCGUAGAUGUAUUGGGGUAAGGAUGACCCUGUCAGAGAGUCUCUCAAAUGUUUGCAACGCGAAUGUGCCGAACUCAG
RNAcentral lists this small RNA (133 nucleotides) under Enterobacterales bacterium 8AC. RNAcentral describes it as "StyR-44". It matches the Rfam family "Salmonella enterica Typhi npcRNA 44". Lineage: Bacteria; Pseudomonadati; Pseudomonadota; Gammaproteobacteria; Enterobacterales. The record is from RNAcentral.